AGUGGGGAAUAUUGCACAAUGGGGGAAACCCUGAUGCAGCCAUGCCGCGUGUGUGAAGAAGGCCUUCGGGUUGUAAAGCACUUUCAGUAAGGAGGAAAGGGUGUUAGUUAAUACCUAACAUCUGUGACGUUACUUACAGAAGAAGCACCGGCUAACUCCGUGCCAGCAGCCGCGGUAAUACGGAGGGUGCGAGCGUUAAUCGGAAUUACUGGGCGUAAAGCGUGCGUAGGCGGUUUGUUAAGCAAGAUGUGAAAGCCCAGGGCUCAACCUUGGAACUGCAUUUUGAACUGGCAGACUAGAGUAUUGUAGAGGGUGGUGGAAUUUCCAGUGUAGCGGUGAAAUGCGUAGAGAUUGGAAGGAACAUCAGUGGCGAAGGCGGCCACCUGGACAAAUACUGACGCUGAGGUACGAAAGCGUGGGGAGCGAA
This 427-nucleotide ribosomal RNA is filed under the name uncultured Thalassomonas sp. RNAcentral's name for it is "bacterial SSU rRNA". It matches the Rfam family "Bacterial small subunit ribosomal RNA", at positions 353 to 772 of the family's 1533-position model. The record is from RNAcentral. Lineage: Bacteria; Pseudomonadati; Pseudomonadota; Gammaproteobacteria; Alteromonadales; Colwelliaceae.